Long non-coding RNA from Tripterygium wilfordii, 467 nucleotides. RefSeq lists it as uncharacterized. The record is from RefSeq and is a predicted model, not a curated record. Lineage: Eukaryota; Viridiplantae; Streptophyta; Magnoliopsida; Celastrales; Celastraceae. The transcript is spliced from 2 exons.
CAUACAAAUCUCCACCGCGCCUCUCAUUUUUCCAUCACAACCGUCUAUGACUAUCUGUCUGUUUCUUCCUCUCACGCCGCUAUCAAUUGCUUAAAGAUAGAGAGUUGCCAUGGCGAUACCAUCUUGAUGCGAAGGCUCGUCAUAUGAAGAUUAUAUCAGAAGGAUAGAGUAUCGGUGUUCGGAACAACCCAUUUAAACAACAAUGGUACACGUGACAUGGAUCCACAAGUCUAUCGCAAACGGUACAAAUUUGUAAGUUUUCCUUCCAGAGUGGGAGUUUAAAUCUUUGCCCCAAUACAUGUUGAAUCCAUUGUGAUGCUAUACAUCGUAUUUAAAUGUAUUAGGACUGGAAUGCACAUCUUAAUUUUGAACUUCAUUUGCCAAUCUUGUUCUGAGGUCCUUCCGCAGGAUCUUGCCAGAUGGUGCCUUAGGUAUUGCAUCUAUGAAGAAUACUUUGUUUAUUCUUU